GAUGAACGCUAGCUACAGGCUUAACACAUGCCAGUCGAGGGGAAACGACAUCGAAAGCUUGCUUUUGAUGGGCGUCGACCGGCGCACGGGUGAGUAACGCGUAUCCAACCUGCCCAUCACUUGGGAAUAACCUUGCGAAAGUAGACUAAUACCCAAUGAUAUCCCACGAAGGCAUCGGAAUGGGAUUAAAGAUUUAUCGGUGAUGGAUGGGGAUGCGUCUGAUUAGCUUGUUGGCGGGGUAACGGCCCACCAAGGCAACGAUCAGUAGGGGUUCUGAGAGGAAGGUCCCCCAGAUUGGAACUGAGACACGGACCAAACUCCUACGGGAGGCAGCAGUGAGGAAUAUUAGUCAAUGGGCGAGGGCCUGAACCAGCCAAGUAGCGUGCAGGAAGACGGCCCUAUGGGUGGUAAACUGCUUUUAAAAGGGAAUAAAGUGGGUAACGUGUGACUUUUUGCAGGUACCUAAUGAAUAAGGACCGGCUAAUUCCGUG
Molecule: ribosomal RNA, 491 nt
Filed under: uncultured bacterium
Lineage: Bacteria
Description: partial 16S ribosomal RNA
Rfam family: Bacterial small subunit ribosomal RNA
Source: RNAcentral